UGGGAUGUAGCGCAGUUGGCGAGAGCGGCUGUCUUAUACACAGUAUGUCAUGGGUUCAAGUCCCAUCAUCCCAA
RNAcentral lists this transfer RNA (74 nucleotides) under Bacteriophage sp. Its description in RNAcentral is "tRNA-Ile". It matches the Rfam family "tRNA". From Rfam's summary of the family: Transfer RNA (tRNA) molecules are approximately 80 nucleotides in length. RNAcentral also lists the same sequence under 1 other name. The record is from RNAcentral.